GGAGGAUCCGAGCGUUAUCCGGAUUUAUUGGGUUUGAAGGGAGCGUAGAUGGAUGUUUAAGUCAGUUGUGAAAGUUUGCGGCUCAACCGUAAAAUUGCAGUUGAUACUGGAUGUCUUGAGUGCAGUUGAGGCAGGCGGAAUUCGUGGUGUAGCGGUGAAAUGCUUAGAUAUCACGAAGAACUCCGAUCGCGAAGGCAUUGUGCCGGGGCAGCACUGACGCUGAGGCUCGAAAGUGCGGGUAUCAAACAGGAUUAGAUACCCUGGUAGUCCGCACGGUAAACGAUGAAUGCUCGCUAUGGGCGAUACAAUGUCCGUGGCCAAGCGAAAGCGUUAAGCAUUCCACCUGGGGAGU
Molecule: ribosomal RNA, 352 nt
Filed under: uncultured bacterium
Lineage: Bacteria
Description: bacterial SSU rRNA
Rfam family: Bacterial small subunit ribosomal RNA
Source: RNAcentral